GACGAACGCUGGCGGCGUGCUUAACACAUGCAAGUCGAACGGAAAGGCCCUGCUUUUGUGGGGUGCUCGAGUGGCGAACGGGUGAGUAACACGUGAGUAACCUGCCCUUGACUUUGGGAUAACUUCAGGAAACUGGGGCUAAUACCGGAUAGGAGCUCCUGCUGCAUGGUGGGGGUUGGAAAGUUUCGGCGGUUGGGGAUGGACUCGCGGCUUAUCAGCUUGUUGGUGGGGUAGUGGCUUACCAAGGCUUUGACGGGUAGCCGGCCUGAGAGGGUGACCGGCCACAUUGGGACUGAGAUACGGCCCAGACGCCUACGGGAGGCAGCGGUGGGGAAUAUUGCACAGUGGGCGGAAGCCUGUGGCGGCAACGCCGCGUGCGGGAUGACGGCCUUCGGGUUGAAAACCGCUUUCGCAUGUGACAAGGCGUGAGUGACGGUAAUGGGUAAAGAAGCACCGGCUAACUACGUG
Molecule: ribosomal RNA, 468 nt
Filed under: uncultured bacterium
Lineage: Bacteria
Description: partial 16S ribosomal RNA
Rfam family: Bacterial small subunit ribosomal RNA
Source: RNAcentral